CUCAGACAGCCAGGAUGUUGGCUUAGAAGCAGCCAUCAUUUAAAGAAAGCGUAAUAGCUCACUGGUCGAGUCGGCCCGCGCGGAAGAUGUAACGGGGCUAAACCAUGCACCGAAGCUGCGGCAGCGAACGUAUCACUUAAAUUUGUUUGAGUGAAUAACGAUUGACGGAACGAAGUGACGUCAAUGCGUUAAUGAAAGUCGAGGCGAAAGCACGACAAAGCGAAUUUAAGGAUACGUUCGUUGGGUAGGGGAGCGUUCUGUAAGCCUGCGAAGGUGUACUGUGAGGUAUGCUGGAGGUAUCAGAAGUGCGAAUGCUGACAUAAGUAACGAUAAUGCGGGUGAAAAACCCGCACGCCGGAAGACCAA
RNAcentral lists this ribosomal RNA (366 nucleotides) under Proteus mirabilis. Its description in RNAcentral is "bacterial LSU rRNA". It matches the Rfam family "Bacterial large subunit ribosomal RNA", at positions 1084 to 1348 of the family's 2925-position model. The record is from RNAcentral. Lineage: Bacteria; Pseudomonadati; Pseudomonadota; Gammaproteobacteria; Enterobacterales; Morganellaceae. RNAcentral also lists the same sequence under 1 other name.